RNAcentral lists this unclassified non-coding RNA (379 nucleotides) under uncultured Bryobacterales bacterium. Its description in RNAcentral is "contains 16S-23S intergenic spacer region". Lineage: Bacteria; Pseudomonadati; Acidobacteriota; Terriglobia; Bryobacterales. The record is from RNAcentral.
UCCGUUUUGUCAACGGCAGUCUCGCUAGAGUCCCCGGCUUAACCCGCUGGCAACUAACGAUAAGGGUUGCGCUCGUUAUGGGACUUAACCCAACAUCUCACGACACGAGCUGACGACAGCCAUGCAGCACCUCGACUCCACCCCCUUGCGGGGUACCGGUAUUUCUACCGGCGUUGAGAAGCCGUUCGAGCCCAGGUAAGGUUCUUCGCGUUGCGUCGAAUUGAACCACAUGCUCCACCGCUUGUGCGGGCCCCCGUCAAUUCCUUUGAGUUUCAGCCUUGCGACUGUACUCCCCAGGCGGCAUAUUUAACGCGUUAGCUCCGGCACGGACAGAAUGAACUGCCCACACCAAAUAUGCAUCGUUUAGGGCGUGGACUAC